This 433-nucleotide ribosomal RNA is filed under the name uncultured bacterium. Its description in RNAcentral is "partial 16S ribosomal RNA". It matches the Rfam family "Bacterial small subunit ribosomal RNA", at positions 29 to 507 of the family's 1533-position model. The record is from RNAcentral.
AACGAACGCUGGCGGCAUGCCUAACACAUGCAAGUCGAACGAGACCUUCGGGUCUAGUGGCGCACGGGUGCGUAACGCGUGGGAACCUGCCCUUAGGUUCGGACUAACUCCCCGAAAGGGGUGCUAAUACCGGCUAUUGUCUUCGGACCAAAGAUUUAUCGCCUUUGGAUGGGCCCGCGUUGGAUUAGCUCGUUGGUAGGGUAAAAGCCUCUCAAGGCGACGAUCCAUAGCUGGUCUGAGAGGAAGAUCAGCCACACUGGGACUAGGACACGGCCCAGACUCCUACGGAAGGCAGGAGAGGGGAAUACAGCACUGUGGGCGAAGUCCUGAUCCACCACUGCCGCGUAAGUGAUGAAGGCCGUAAAGUUAUAAAGCUCUUUUACCCGCGAUGAUAAUGACAGUACCGGGAGAAUAAGCUCCGGCUAACUCCGUG